CGAGCUGCCAGCGCAAGUGAUGCUUGAAAGUUCGAUUUCAACAUUGAAGGGAAGUCUGGACAGCAAUGAGAAAUACCACCAAAUCUACUUCAAGAACAUCUUUGAGAAAAUCUAUCCUGCAUAUAUUGUAAUCUGCCACUCACCUGACCACUUUGCAGUGGGUAGUUAAACUACUGUCCCGUAUACUUCUAGGUUAUGGGAGGAGACAGGAGCACCUAGAGGAAAUCCACAUGGUCAUGGUAAGAAUGUACAAGUUCCACAGAGGUAACACCCUGGAGGUAAGGAUUAAACCCAGGUCAU
Molecule: long non-coding RNA, 300 nt
Organism: Hypanus sabinus (Atlantic stingray)
Lineage: Eukaryota; Metazoa; Chordata; Chondrichthyes; Myliobatiformes; Dasyatidae
Exons: 3
Source: RefSeq, a predicted model, not a curated record